Molecule: long non-coding RNA, 1392 nt
Filed under: Brassica rapa (field mustard)
Lineage: Eukaryota; Viridiplantae; Streptophyta; Magnoliopsida; Brassicales; Brassicaceae
Description: long non-coding RNA (BRAP_LNC006498)
Source: RNAcentral
AAUCAUACUAGUAGUCCUAUGAUAAUAAUCUAUAUGUAGUAUUUAGCCUUACACUCUUAAUUUUGUUAGUUUAUAAGGAAAAUAAUGUUUUUUCUUGAUUACAUCAUGAAAUUCCAUCCAUGUUAAACUCCCGUGAGUCCUUCUAUAUUCUUGGACCGCUUCCUUAUAUAAACCCCAAAAACCUAUUUCUUUUCAAUCAAUCCAUAACAUCAACACAUAAACAAAAGUCCCAUCUUCUCCUUCUUUUUCUGUGUCAAACAAAGAGAAACACAUAUCAUACAAAACAAACAAAAAAAAACAUGAUAACGAGAGAGAGUCAAAGGCUGAGUAGCGUCACAAUAAUGAUUCUUAUGGUAACUCUUGUCUGGUCUGUAACUUUACAGACCUGCAUUGCCAGAAAAGGAAGACAUUGGAGGCACCACCAUAGCAGCUCCUCUUCUUCCUCAACCUUGUCUGAUUCCUUGUCCAGCAAGAAACCAAAAAGCCACCACAAUAGCCAUUCCCAUAAGUCAAAACCACAACUAAAAACUCCGCCGCCAAAAUCCGGCUCACCUGUCCUGCCACAACCACCACAAGUACAACCGCCACCAUCACCACAAGUACAACCGCCACCACCGUCACCUCUUCCGCUGCAGCCACUUGAAGGGUCUCAAGAAUUCAAUGUGCUUGAUUUUGGCGCUAAGGGUGAUGGCAUGAGUGAUGACACUGAGGUACAGAUUCAAAACAUUUCAUUAUCCAAUUUAAAAAAUUCAACCUAUUGGUUCUUGAUUAAAUCAAAAAUUUAAUCUUCGCUUUCAUUAACAUUCUUGUAGAAAAAGAAAAAAAAAACAGAAUGUGAAUUACAGUUGAGAAGGUAACACGAGACAGAACAAAAAACAGAGCUCACAAAAGCUUUCUCUUUUGUCUGUAAAGUCAAUCAACUGUUUUUUCCCUUUCAAUGUUAAUUCCGAUAAAACCAAACAAAAAAAAAUGUAGAGAAGUGACAAAAAAGUUACCAAAGUUUAGAGGGGACCAGAAUCUCUGUGAUUUUCCUCCACAAUUCUGUUUUCUGUGAGAAAAAAAAUAAUAAUAAUAAAAAGCUUUAACGUUAUCUGCAGGCGUUUGAAGCGGCAUGGGCUUCUGCUUGCAAAGUGGAGGCGUCAACUAUGGUCAUACCGCCUGACUAUAUCUUCCUCGUUGGCCCCAUAUCCUUCUCGGGUCCUUAUUGUCAAGCAAACAUUGUAUUCCAGGUGAGAGUUACUCAUCAAGAUUCGAAAACAAAAAUGUAAAAGAAUGUACCCUUUGGGCUGAUGGACGUGCGCCUUUUGUUUGGUUGCAGUUGGAUGGGAUGAUUGUAGCUCCUACGGACUCGGAGUCAUGGGGAAGAGGGCUUCUGUGGUGGAUAGAGUUCAC